GCGGGGGUGCGCGCGAGGCGGGGGGGCAAUGAGGUCGCCGCGGCGGCGCGCAGUACGGCGGGAACAUGGCGCGCGGAACCGGCGCGCGCGCCUAGCUGGCGGGACCGUUAGCUCGAGGCGGACGCGGCCCGGGCCCCGUGGGGAUGGAGCAGUCGCCGCCGUCGGCGCCCGAGUCGACCCCAGGGCCGACCCCCGCAAGAAGCCGAAGGAGGCGGGAGCCGGAGUCGCCGCCGGCGUCGGCGCCGAUUCCUCUCUUUGGUGCUAACACCAUUGGUCAGAGAAGUCCUGAUGGACCCGUACUGAGCAAAGCUGAAUUUGUUGAGAAAGUUCGUCAGAGUAAUCAGGCCUGUCAUGAUGGAGAUUUCCACACAGCUAUUGUUCUGUAUAAUGAAGCCCUGGCUGUUGACCCUCAGAACUGCAUCUUAUACAGCAAUAGAUCAGCAGCCUACAUGAAAAUCCAGCAGUAUGACAAGGCACUGGAUGAUGCAAUCAAAGCUCGACUUCUCAAUCCCAAAUGGCCAAAGGUACCCAUCAUUAUUACCUAAACAUCAAGAUCCAAGGUCUAGUGAUAAACAGGCAAUAAUUUUUCAGGUAUGAGGUUAAUUCCUCUCUUGUUUUGCAUAAUGACUGUGUCAAAACAUCCAUCUUUACACUUUCCUUUUCCUUUUCAUCUCCUUACACAGGGUCUUGCUUUCUGCUUUACAGGGAAAAUAAAGAUCAUCAGGUUUUAAUUUCAUCUAUUUCCUGUAAUCCCCUUAUAUUAUAAAUAUGUGUACAUUUGUAUUCACUUGAUGUCUACCUUUCCAUAUAUAGAAAUCUAUGGAGUCUUGCCCCAUCAGUUGUUCUCUCACUCUCUUAUAUCUUUAAUCUUUCUACAGAUUCUUUUUAAAAUUUAUAUAUUAUUGAUUUCUAUUACUUCUUUUUGUAAAACUGUGUCCAGUACGGAUGUAUCUAAAACAGAGUUAAAAUUCGUCUUAUUACUUUCUUUUUUAAACUUAUAAUAGUUGAAAUUCUGGGAUACAUGUGCAGAACGUGCAGGUUUGUUACAUAAGCAUACAUGUGCCAUGGUGGUUUGCUGCACCCAUCAACCCAUCAUCUAAAUUAGGUAUUUGUCCUAAUGCUAUCCCUCCGCUUACCUAUCUUUCUAGAGAUUCUUUAUUGUUUCAAUACUGUAUUUCUCUCUUCAGUUCUUUAUUGACCUUUAAGACAAUGAAUUUUGGCAUGAAAAAGACCCAGUUUUAUAAUCCCAGCUCCACCAGGGUGUCCUUGGACAAAUCAGUUGGUCCCUCUGAGGCUUAAUUUCUAUAAAAUGGAGAUAAGACUUACUAAAGUUUUGUUUUGAGGAUCAUGUAAACCAGGGGUCCCCAACCCCUGGGCCACGGACUGGUACUGGUUCAUGGCCUGUUAGGAAUGAGGCCACACAGCAGGAGGUGAGCAGUGGGUGAAGCUUUCAUCUAUAUUUAGUCACUCUCCAUUGCUUGCAUUACUGCCUGAGCUCCAUCUCCUGUUAGAUCAGCAUCGGCAUUAGAUUUGCAUAGGAGCCUGAACCCUAUCAUGAAUUGCGCAUGCACAGGAUCUAGGUUGCGCGAAUUUAAUGCCUGAUGACCUGUCAUUGUCUCCCAUUACCCACAGAUUAGACCGUCUAGUUGUAGGAAAACAAAUUCAGGGCUCCCACUGAUUCUACAUUAUGGUGAAUUGUAGGAUUAUUUUAUUAUAUAUUACAAUGUAAUAAUAACAGAAGUAAAGUACACAAUAAAUGUUAAUAUGCUUGAAUCAUCCUGAAACCAUCUCCCCAACCCAACGGUCCAUUGAAAAAUUGUCUUUCACGGAACUAGUCUUUGGGGCUGAAAAGGUUGGGGACUACUAAUAAGAACUUAAAUAGAGUAAUCAAUGUAAAGGUCCUGGUCCUUAUUUCAAAUUCUCUUAUAUGAUGGUUUCUUCAUGAUCUCCCUCCCUCCCUCCCUCCCUCCCUCCCUCCCUCCCUCCCUUCCUCCCUUCCUCCCUCCCUUCCUCCCUUCCUUCUCUCUCUCUCUCUCUCUCUCUCUCUCUUCAGAGCCAGACUUCUUAAUAGUCUAUAUUUGUAGUCACUACUUGAAGUCUAGGUUGCCACAUCCACUAUUCUAUAACUUCUUAGUCCAAGUUUACCGUUGAUCUUCUGAUUGCCAGAUCUGAUGAGCACUUUUCAGAACUUCAUCAUUUAUUUUUCAUUCCAACCCUUAAAAUAAUUCUCUUGCAAAGCAGACAGAGAAAGCUUUCUAAAUGUAAACAGCUUUCUAAAAUAUAAAUCCAACUUUUUAAUAAGUCUCCAUCACCUGCAAAAUAAAAUAAAUCAUUUCUGGUAGGAAUAAAAGGACUCUUCAUCUAAAUCUGUGUUGUCCAGUAUGGUAGGUGUUAGGUAUAUGUGGCUAUUUAAAUCUAAACUAGUUAAUUAUAGCUAAAUACAAUUUUAAAAAACAGUCUCUUAAACUAGCUACAUUUCAAACAUUCAGUAGCUACAUGUGACUAAUGGCUACUAUGUUAGUCAGCUUAGACAUAGAAUCUUCCCAUUAUCACAUAAAGUUCUAUUGGACAUUGCUGAUCUGGAUCCAAGAUAUUAAAAAAUGAGAGACAUGGGUUAGAAUUACACCAGAUUUAGCUAGGCUGGACCAAGGAAGUAAAGGUGGUGAUGCUACAGAAAUUCUAUUGUUAACCUGUACAGUCCAGGGUUCCUGGGGAGAAGCCUGCCUUGAAAUGAGGAAUAUUUUGAAUGAGCAGUAGGAGCAAUGGUGGUAUCAGGAGAGGUGAGAGCUACUUUUGUCAUUAUGUUGGAAUAAUGAUGAGGAAGAGAAGGAAUCACGUUGAAUUAAAAAAAUGGAAUACAGCUGGAAUUUUGCUUUUUGCAUCAGGCUAUUCCAGAAGAAAAAAACAUUUGAUAAAAGAAUGUGCCUGUAGUUCCAGCUACUUGGGAGGCUGAGGUAGGAGGAUUGCUUGAGCCCAGGAGUUUGAGGCUGCAGUCAGCUAUCUAUGAUCGUGCCACUGCACUCCAGACUCGGUAACAGAACAAAUCUGUCUCAAAACAAAACAAACCAAACACACACACACACACACACACACACACACACACACACACAUACACACACACAGGGAGAGAGAGAGAGAGAGAGAGAGAAGAAUAUAUUUAUAAGAAUAACUAGUUUUUGGGAUUUUAACCUUGUGGUAAAUAAUACCUCACACCUGGCGUUGACCCAUCUGCUUUUUUGGGUUUAAAAGAAUUUUGCACGCAUAAAUGUUUUUGCAAAGUUGGAAGUGAUAUUUUUAUUCUUAUAUUCUGUAAAUAGUCAUCUCCAGUCUUUAGAUUUGUUUCCUGGUCUGCUUAUAGUCAAGAAUGUUGUAACUGUUAUACUGUACUCCUAUCUGUGUAAGUUGUUAAUGCUGUGAUUUUUUAAAGCUCCUGGAUAUUAAUGUUUUAAGUUCUUGAACUUCUGCAAGAUGGUCCAUAUUGAAAGAGGCCGCUGUAAAAUGCAGAUGCUGACAAGGAGGAAAACAAAGAGUUUCACAAGGAAUUAUGGGUAUUGAAUGUAACUCUUUAGUUCACAGUUCCAUAAAACUGUGUUGUUUCCAUAGUACUACAUUCUGUCUUAACCUUUGUUGUAUUGCACAGCUCAUUUUAAGGAAGAAUGAAUUGUUAGUCAUCUGCUUUUUAUCUUGCAUUUUAACUUUCAAUCCUUGGAAAGCAGGAAUUCCACUCUAUUCAAAGCAAUAUUCUAC
Molecule: long non-coding RNA, 3747 nt
Organism: Cebus imitator (Panamanian white-faced capuchin)
Lineage: Eukaryota; Metazoa; Chordata; Mammalia; Primates; Cebidae
Source: Ensembl